UCGAGCGGACAGAUGGGAGCUUGCUCCCUGAUGUUAGCGGCGGACGGGUGAGUAACACGUGGGUAACCUGCCUGUAAGACUGGGAUAACUCCGGGAAACCGGGGCUAAUACCGGAUGGUUGUUUGAACCGCAUGGUUCAAACAUAAAAGGUGGCUUCGGCUACCACUUACAGAUGGACCCGCGGCGCAUUAGCUAGUUGGUGAGGUAACGGCUCACCAAGGCAACGAUGCGUAGCCGACCUGAGAGGGUGAUCGGCCACACUGGGACUGAGACACGGCCCAGACUCCUACGGGAGGCAGCAGUAGGGAAUCUUCCGCAAUGGACGAAAGUCUGACGGAGCAACGCCGCGUGAGUGAUGAAGGUUUUCGGAUCGUAAAGCUCUGUUGUUAGGGAAGAACAAGUACCGUUCGAAUAGGGCGGUACCUUGACGGUACCUAACCAGAAAGCCACGGCUAACUACGUGCCAGCAGCCGCGGUAAUACGUAGGUGGCAAGCGUUGUCCGGAAUUAUUGGGCGUAAAGGGCUCGCAGGCGGUUUCUUAAGUCUGAUGUGAAAGCCCCCGGCUCAACCGGGGAGGGUCAUUGGAAACUGGGGAACUUGAGUGCAGAAGAGGAGAGUGGAAUUCCACGUGUAGCGGUGAAAUGCGUAGAGAUGUGGAGGAACACCAGUGGCGAAGGCGACUCUCUGGUCUGUAACUGACGCUGAGGAGCGAAAGCGUGCGGAGCGAACAGGAUUAGAUACCCUGGUAGUCCACGCCGUAAACGAUGAGUGCUAAGUGUUAGGGGGUUUCCGCCCCUUAGUGCUGCAGCUAA
This 812-nucleotide ribosomal RNA is filed under the name Bacillus subtilis. RNAcentral's name for it is "bacterial SSU rRNA". It matches the Rfam family "Bacterial small subunit ribosomal RNA", at positions 62 to 855 of the family's 1533-position model. Lineage: Bacteria; Bacillati; Bacillota; Bacilli; Caryophanales; Bacillaceae. The record is from RNAcentral.